This 270-nucleotide ribosomal RNA is filed under the name uncultured bacterium. Its description in RNAcentral is "partial 16S ribosomal RNA". It matches the Rfam family "Bacterial small subunit ribosomal RNA", at positions 524 to 794 of the family's 1533-position model. The record is from RNAcentral.
UACGUAGGGUGCAAGCGUUAAUCGGAAUUACUGGGCGUAAAGCGUGCGCAGGCGGUUAUGUAAGACAGAGGUGAAAUCCCGGGCUCAACCUGGGGACUGCCUUUGUGACUGCAUAGCUAGAGUACGGCAGAGGGGGAUGGAAUUCCGCGUGUAGCAGUGAAAUGCGUAGAUAUGCGGAGGAACACCGAUGGCGAAGGCAAUCCCCUGGGCCUGUACUGACGCUCAUGCACGAAAGCGUGGGGAGCAAACAGGAUUAGAAACCCCGGGUAU